CCCAAAUCUAGGUUCGUGAGCAUAGAAGCAUUGGAGAGGUUGGGGAUUACUCCGCUGAGGUCAGUUCCUGCUAUAUAAAGGUUUUGUAGGUUUGGAACCCCAAGGCCUAUGUUUGCUGGGAGGCAUAUUCAAACCAAGUGCGAGGUCUGUUAUCGUGGAGAUAUUGAAGAUUGAGGCUGGGAUGAGGCCAUUUAGAUUGUUAAUUUGGAUUGAUAAAACCUCUAAAUUCUGAAGAUCACCGAUCUCGUUUGGUAUAGUGCCUGCCACAAUUUCAAAACAUUGUAGCGCAUUAGGUUAGAUGAAAACAAUAUUGACUUCUAUACAAUGUUAACGUUUAUUAUGCAAUUCAAUCUAUUUUAUUCUAUACAAUUUGUAGCCCAAGAGAAGUGAACAGGGCUGAAGGGGUUUUCGUUCUCUUUUUUAUCUGUUGACCUUGUACAAAAUAGUUAAAUAAUGAUAAAUGAUGCCAAACAAAAAGAUAUAGUUGGAACAACAUAAUGAAAUAUCAAUUACCUGUCAAAUUGUUGUCUUCCAGAUAAAUCGUUGUUAAUUGGGUUAAGUUGCCAAUAUAUUUGGGUAUGCUUCCACUGAAAUUGUUUCUAGACAAUGCUAAUGAAAGAAGAUGUUUGCAAUGCCAUAAUUUGGAUGGAAGUGGACCAUCAAACUGGUUGCGGCCAAAAUUAGCUUCCUGAAGAUUAGGAAGAUGCUGGCAUAUAUUAUCUGGAAGACCACCACUCAAACUGUUUUCAUAUAGAGUCUAAAUA
Non-coding RNA from Prunus avium (sweet cherry), 764 nucleotides. Lineage: Eukaryota; Viridiplantae; Streptophyta; Magnoliopsida; Rosales; Rosaceae. The record is from RefSeq and is a predicted model, not a curated record.